This 253-nucleotide ribosomal RNA is filed under the name uncultured bacterium. RNAcentral describes it as "partial 16S ribosomal RNA". It matches the Rfam family "Bacterial small subunit ribosomal RNA", at positions 524 to 776 of the family's 1533-position model. The record is from RNAcentral.
UACAGAGGGGGCAAGCGUUGUUCGGAAUUACUGGGCGUAAAGGGCGCGUAGGCGGCCUUCUAAGUCGAACGUGAAAUCCCCGGGCUCAACCCGGGAACUGCGUCCGAUACUGGAAGGCUUGAAUCCGGGAGAGGGAUGCGGAAUUCCAGGUGUAGCGGUGAAAUGCGUAGAUAUCUGGAGGAACACCGGUGGCGAAGGCGGCGUUCUGGACUGCAACUGACACUGAGGCACGAAAGCGUGGGGAGCAAACAGG